UUUUAGGAAAACAUUUUUUUUCAUCAUUUACCAUUUUCAAUGAAUUAAUGUAAUUUUGUGCCAUUUUUGUUGUUGUAGUAAUCAGUUUGACUUGCAGCAGCCAUAAAAAAAAUGCUUUAAAUGUUUGUUAUAUUUCCCCGAAUAUUAUUCAUGUCUGAACCACUUUGCCGAAAUCUCUGGGGACUUGAACUGCGACAUUAUGCUCUUUAGCAAUGUCCGAGUUAGGCGGGACAUGGCAGUUACCAUGGUAACGCCCUCCCCAUUCAGGGUGUGGAAGGUCAUCUUGUGGACACAGAUAAAGGUUCAAGUGUGAGGGCCCCAGACGGAGCUGUACACCAGUUAAAGUCUCUACCAGUCUGGCAGAAACCCCGGGUAUCCUUCAGAAGCGUCGCGCGGAUCGGAUGUUCUGAGACGCGAGAGAGGAUUUCUCCAGUGGCAUCAAAUUCUAAGUUGUAUCCAUUUUUAUGCACUAACAUUUACAUUUACACACUGACAUUUUAUUUCAUCUUUGGCCACACGUUGGUUUUGUUUGAAGGAAGUGUAUACAUUUCUUUUUCACUAUUUUUCCUGACUCAAAUAAGUUCCCAGAUUAUUCAUGUCCGAUUCUCCUACAGUACAGAAAUAAAUAGUAAAUGAUCUUAAACGGUUGCCUCCACUGUGAGACAUCAUUUGCUCGUGUGAACACACGAGCCGUUGACCCUUGUUGUAGUUCUAGGAUGAGCGCUGGUAGUGG
This is a long non-coding RNA of Gasterosteus aculeatus aculeatus (three-spined stickleback), 733 nucleotides long. NCBI's taxonomy places the organism in Eukaryota, Metazoa, Chordata, Actinopteri, Perciformes, Gasterosteidae. The record is from Ensembl.